Molecule: long non-coding RNA, 209 nt
Filed under: Mytilus galloprovincialis (Mediterranean mussel)
Lineage: Eukaryota; Metazoa; Mollusca; Bivalvia; Mytilida; Mytilidae
Source: RNAcentral
GGGGGCUAUGGUUUUUUUUUCUGUACAAACUUUUUUUUUCGACUGCGGCGAAAAACAAUCUAUUUUUUUCGCAACAAGUCGAAAACAAUUUUUUUUCUUUCAAUUUUAGCAUAACAUAUAGUGGCAGCUGAGGAGGUAACAAACAAUUUUUUUUUUCAGAAUUCAAAACAAAUUAUUUUUUUCUCCAAAAACUGGAAACAAACUUUUUU